UAAGAUUUUAAUUGAAUGCUAAGAGAAUGGAAGUCCAGAAAAAAACUUUUUUUAAAUUAAAAAUUGAAGUUUUUUUAAUUUGUGCAGAAACAAUUAUUUAUAUUAAAGACAAGAAGACCCUAUGAAUUUAUUAAAUUUUUAUUUAAUAUGUAAUUACUAUUAGAAAAAUUUUGGCUGGGGCGGCUAGAAAAUAUUAUGAACUUUUUAAAAAUAAAAUGAUCCAUUAUUAAUGAUUUUAUGUUAAAUACUCUAGGGAUAACAGCGUUAUAUUUUUUGAUAGAUCAUAUUGACAAAAAAGUUUGCGACCUCGAUGUUGGAUUAGGAUACUUUUUUAAUGAAGAUAUUAAAAAAAGAAGUUUGUUCAACUUUUAAUUUCCUACUUGAUCUG
RNAcentral lists this ribosomal RNA (388 nucleotides) under Rhipicephalus sanguineus (brown dog tick). RNAcentral describes it as "partial 16S ribosomal RNA". The stretch from base 255 to 388 matches the Rfam family "Archaeal large subunit ribosomal RNA", at positions 2542 to 2676 of the family's 2987-position model. Lineage: Eukaryota; Metazoa; Arthropoda; Arachnida; Ixodida; Ixodidae. The record is from RNAcentral.